Molecule: long non-coding RNA, 2018 nt
Filed under: Fragaria vesca (wild strawberry)
Lineage: Eukaryota; Viridiplantae; Streptophyta; Magnoliopsida; Rosales; Rosaceae
Description: long non-coding RNA (FVES_LNC004489)
Source: RNAcentral
GAGAAAGUUGGGGUUAUGGGGUUCACGAUAUUGAUGCUUCUUUGAUCUCACAUAUAAACUAAAGAAUUAACCUUUGUUUAGUCCCUAAGGUUUACACAACUCAUCUACUUAGUCCUCAAGGUUUAAAAAACAUCUAUAUAGUCCUUAAGGUUUUGAUUUCUCAUCUAGAAGGUCCAACAGUUACAAAAAACUGUUAAGCUACUGUUUUUUCGUUAACUUUAAAAAGUUUUUUUUUUUUUUUUUUAUUUUUUUUUUAACUUACUUUUAAGUAUGUAGACUAAUCUUCUCCUAAGAACUAGCCUUCAACAUGCCAACACUUCACCUAACGACUUCCUGUCUAAUGGUUACUAAUCAUGACGGAAUCACUGCUGUCUUAGGGUAAACAAGUCUAAACACUUACAAAGUAAAAGGGGAACGUACCACAACGAAAAUAAAAUGCAGAAAUUUUUUUUUUUUUUUACGGAUUAUAGGGCACAAGGUAGAAUUUAUCAACAUAAAUACAAAUACCAAACCCAGAGCCUUGCUCUUAGCUGUUUUGCUUCUCAUACUUGUAAUUAUAAAUACUUACUUGUAAAUUUACAACACACCACACCACACCAGAUGAUUACAGACUUCACUCUAAAAAUACUCUUACUAUUCUAAAGACUGUAUACUAACUCUCGUACUUCUUGAGAAAGGUUGGGAGAUUUCAGAUGUUUGUUUCAGGUUUUCUCUUCGAUGCCUUCCUUCUGAAGUUUGAGGCUGCUUAUAUAGGAGGCGGAACUCAAGCUGGAAUUAAAUCACACUUCUACAUAGUGGGAGACAAGAGGAAUCCUAUCCAAAUAACUUUACUUUUGAAAAAGUAAAGUCGAAAGCUUUAAUGUGCUGGAAGCCACUUUCUUUUUAUCAAAAGAAAAGCUGUUUGUCUUGUUGCGUCGGCAACCACUCAACUUUCCAGCAUAUUCACAAUGUUGUGAUAUGUUUCUGGAUCUUCAGAAUAACCCACUGAGGAGUUGGGACCACUAUAUUCCCAAUCUCGCGCCGUGUCUUCAUCUCCAUUGUCGAGAUCUGAAUCAUACGGAUAAGAAAUCUUAUAUUUUUCAUCAGUCUCAACCUUUUCUAACCACGUAGUGGUGGCCAGAGUGCAAUCCACUUCUUUUCUCAGAAGAGCUGUGAAAAAGUCACAAUUCUCUGGUGGAGGAUGAUUAUAGCAAGUAACCAUUAUUUUUCUCCACUUGCCAAAAGACUUGAAUCAUAGUUUCUUAGCACCACGUCUUUGAUAACAGCUAUAGCCAUAGCCUUCAUCCACCGGAUGCUUUGAUUUGGUCUACGAUUGCCACUUACAACGAUUGUCUUUUGAACUGGACUUUGGAUUAAUCUGACAUGAUGAUAUGGAGAAAUAUAAUUCAUUUGACCAUUUACCACUGUCCAUUCUGGAGGGGUUGAAAUGAAUUUUAACCUUAGGAUGCAUCCAUCAGGUCUGAUAUUUUUGACUGCUUCAGUAAUUAUUGCAGGCAAAUCCUGCAGAUCUUCAUUGGUUUUUGUCCACAAAUUAUGAACAAAACCGUUCUCUACAAGCCUUAGCUUGUGCUUCUGGGGAUGUUCUGCUUGAACAUCAACAAGAUAUCUCCCAUAAUAUGGGCCUGGAACUACUGAUAAAGAUCCUGGAAGAACAUUUUUUCCUUCACUAAGAGGUUAUGAAAGCUGUACCAUUCCGAUUCUUUUAGCGCUAAAAUGGGGAUCUUAGCACUCUCAGGAUUUUCGAGGUAUACAACCUUCGAGGUUUCUGCUAGAAUACCUUUAUCUUUUGCAUGGAAUCCAUGCAUUUCUUCAGUUAAAGCCUUGAGAGUUUGAAGCAAGUGAGCUUCAUUUUCUUCAUAAAAUGAAUACAGAAUAUUAUCAAUAAUAAUCUUCUGCUUGAAGGGUAAAAGUCUUUCCGUUCUGAAUACUGGCUUCUGAAAGAUCUUCAGAGAUUGCUCAUGGAUGACCUUCUUUCCUGUGACUAUCGGUAUCUUAUUUGCCCUAAGAGGGUCUCUUCU